CCAGAGUCUCGUUAGUUCAUCAGACGGCUGUGUCUCAGUCUGAGGCCGUGGACGAGAAAUGUCCUGAAACUCUGCAUCACUAACUGUCGUCUGGAGAUCUGAAGAGAACAGAUGCUGCUCAGCUGCAUUAUGGGAAAUAUUUCUUCAUCUCAGUUCUUAAAUUGAUGGAUUUUGAUGAGAACAAUCAGACACAGUCAGAGGACGGGCGUUUACGAGUGUGUGUGACUUGGUGAAGAUCCAGAGGAUUUCCAUGUGGUUUCAUCAGGAGACUUGGUGAAGGGGUCAAAGUCCACAGUGAGACACGAGGGAUUAAAGCAGCUGGACGACGUGUUGGAAACAAAUGAAAACAACAACUAAGACGCAGGAAACACGACGGUGACGUGGACCAACAGCUGACGUCGUGCUGAACACACACAUUCACACAUGGUUUCAUCCCUGUGGCGUUCCCUGAAACACGGCGCUGCCUGGCCUGUGUUUUAUCUCGUGUUAGAUGAUCCGUGCAGAGCGCUGCGGCACAAAGGACGAGAAGCUGCCGCCGCCGCCGCCGCUGCUAUAACCGGCCGGGUGUCGGAUUACAGCUGCUGCUUCACCAACCCUGAAACUGAAGAUGGAAGACAGAGCCGCACCGAAAAUCCAAGUGGAAAGUUUAAUGUGCACUUGAACCUUUGAGAGCGCUCUUAGCCCCUGUCCUCCAUCUGCUGCC
Hippoglossus stenolepis (Pacific halibut) is the source of this 703-nucleotide long non-coding RNA. RefSeq lists it as uncharacterized. Lineage: Eukaryota; Metazoa; Chordata; Actinopteri; Pleuronectiformes; Pleuronectidae. The transcript is spliced from 3 exons. The record is from RefSeq and is a predicted model, not a curated record.